This 221-nucleotide unclassified non-coding RNA is filed under the name Hevea brasiliensis (rubber tree). The record is from RNAcentral. Lineage: Eukaryota; Viridiplantae; Streptophyta; Magnoliopsida; Malpighiales; Euphorbiaceae.
AGUCAACCGACUCAUCAGGCGUUAUUAGAUGCCAAGAAAAAGAGUCACAUGCUUGCUAUUACCUCAUGGGAUGUAAAUGGUGUCUCCCUUCUUAUGGAUGUGUUUAAUUUAAUUUUGACCUUUUACAUUUUUACUUUAAAAACAUUUAGAAGGAAUAAAUGUUCAUUAUUAGGGUAAUUUCUUAUGACACUAAAGACACAUAUACUCGUUAUUAGCUUAAU